ACAGGAAAAUGACCUAUGAAUUGACAGACAGUGUGGCUAAGUGUGUCUGUCAUUUCUGUAGGCCAAUAUUCUGU
This is a non-coding RNA of Myotis lucifugus (little brown bat), 74 nucleotides long. The record is from Rfam. NCBI's taxonomy places the organism in Eukaryota, Metazoa, Chordata, Mammalia, Chiroptera, Vespertilionidae.